RNAcentral lists this ribosomal RNA (253 nucleotides) under uncultured bacterium. RNAcentral's name for it is "partial 16S ribosomal RNA". It matches the Rfam family "Bacterial small subunit ribosomal RNA", at positions 524 to 776 of the family's 1533-position model. The record is from RNAcentral.
UACGAACUGUGCGAACGUUAUUCGGAAUCACUGGGCUUAAAGGGUGCGUAGGCGGGCAGGUAGGUCAGAUGUGAAAGCCCACGGCUCAACCGUGGAAUUGCGUUUGAAACCACUUGUCUUGAGGGGAUCAGAGGAGAGCGGAACUAAUUGUGGAGCGGUGAAAUGCGUUGAUAUGAUUAGGAACACCGGUGGCGAAAGCGGCUCUCUGGGAUCUUUCUGACGCUGAGGCACGAAAGCUAGGGGAGCGAACGGG